This 353-nucleotide ribosomal RNA is filed under the name uncultured bacterium. RNAcentral describes it as "bacterial SSU rRNA". It matches the Rfam family "Bacterial small subunit ribosomal RNA", at positions 917 to 1269 of the family's 1533-position model. The record is from RNAcentral.
GGGCUCACACAAGCGGUGGAUGAUGUGGCUUAAUUCGAGGCAACGCGAAGAACCUUAUCCUGGACUUGACAUGCUUGGAUUAACCCUAUGAAAGUAGGGCCACGCCUUCGGUGGAACUUGCACAGGUGCUGCAUGGCUGUCGUCAGCUCGUGUCGUGAGACGUCGCGUUAAGUCGCUUAACGAGCGCAACCCUUGUCCUUAGUUGCCAGCACGUAAUGUGGGACUCUAAGGAGACCGCCGGUGUCAAACCGGAGGAAGGCGGGGACGACGUCAAGUCAUCAUGGCCUUUAUGUCCAGGGCUGCACACGUCAUACAAUGCAACAUACAAAGGGCAGCUAACCGCGAGGGGCGCU